RNAcentral lists this ribosomal RNA (323 nucleotides) under uncultured eukaryote. RNAcentral describes it as "partial 18S ribosomal RNA". It matches the Rfam family "Eukaryotic small subunit ribosomal RNA", at positions 1470 to 1796 of the family's 1831-position model. The record is from RNAcentral.
CCCUUAGAUGUUCUGGGCUGCACGCGUGCUACACUGAUAUUGCCAAUAUGUCAUUCUUAUCCGAAAUGGAUUGGGUAAUCAAGUAAUGAAAUUUCAUGCUUGGAAUCGGUAAUUGCAAUUUUAUCGUGAACGAGGAAUUCCUAGUAAGCACUAGUCAUCAGCUAAUGUUGAUUAUGUCCCUGCCCUUUGUACACACCGCCCGUCGCUAUUACUGAUUGGGUGUUCAAGUGAGAUGCUUAGACCCUUGUUGCAUGGUUCAUUAUUGUGCUCCGAAAGGAAAAAGUUUCAAGCUUGAGUGUCUAGAGGAAGUAAAAGUCGUAACA